GGGCGGAUAGCUCAGCGGAAGAGCACCUGCCUUACAAGCAGGGGGUCACAGGUUCGAACCCUGUUUCGCCCACCA
RNAcentral lists this transfer RNA (75 nucleotides) under Proteiniphilum sp. RNAcentral's name for it is "tRNA-Val". It matches the Rfam family "tRNA". Rfam says of the family: Transfer RNA (tRNA) molecules are approximately 80 nucleotides in length. Their secondary structure includes four short double-helical elements and three loops (D, anti-codon, and T loops). Lineage: Bacteria; Pseudomonadati; Bacteroidota; Bacteroidia; Bacteroidales; Dysgonomonadaceae. RNAcentral also lists the same sequence under 6 other names. The record is from RNAcentral.